UGUGAUCUGGAGAUUAGGUCUCAACAGUGAGGCCGAUCAGAGAUGUACUGAUGAUUUCUAGUUAAUUACAAACUUAUACAGAAGCAUGUCCAUCACUGUCAACCUGAAGAGGAUCACCAAUCUACCAGGGAAGUAUGAUCGAAAAGUGGAGUUAUGCUUUAGAGAUUUUACCCACAAAACCAGAAUUCUUCAGUGUGAAAAUAUUGCGAUUUUCAAUGAGCAUUUCAGGUGGCCACACUAUGGGAAGGUUACCAACAGUGAGGUCCUGUCUGUCAGUGUGUACAACUGCAGCAAGGUUUUCAGCAGCAGGCUCCUAGGUAAAUUAGUCAUCAGUCUUCAGCAUGUGGUGACAUCUGGAAGACUGCAACUCCGAGAGCCACUAACAGACAGAAACUACAGCCAGACUACAAUAUACAUUGAGUUGGACGUACGAUACCACCCUGUGCAAGGCGCUGCAGGUAGAUGGGAGGGUGAAGAAUUCCUCAAUGUGGAAGAUGAUGAUAACUCAGGUCUUGUUAUCAGAAACACUGGUUUUGCUGAUCCGAAGUCAAAGCAGAGUCUGCGACCUGAGAAACUUGACAAAGACACAAGGAAAUUGGGACGGAGUCUAAUCAAAACAGAGACAGACAAUGAUGAUGACGAUGAUGAUGUUGAUGAUGAUGAUUAUGAUAUUUCAGACAUGGAGUAUACCAACACAACGUUCACUCCCAUCUUAAGUCGUUGCAGACCUCUUUCAAAACAUAUGCUUGCCGCAACAGCUCGAGUACAGAGUUUCCAGGUUAAUGUGAAUGUUUUGGAGGCCCAAAAACUGGUUGGCGUAAACAUUAACCCAGCUGUGUACAUCAGAAUGGGAGAAGAAAAAAGGAAAACCACCACACAAAAAUCCACCAACUGUCCAUUUUAUAACGAGAACUUCAUGUUUGAGUUCCAGGAAACACGAGAUGUGCUGUUUGAUAAAGUUAUUCAGAUAACGGUUGUUCACAAAAAGAUGCUGGGAUUUAUGAUGACAUUUAUCGGCAGCUUCAAAAUUGACAUCAGCACCAUCUACAGUCAACCAGAUCACAGAUUCUACCAGAAAUGGGCACCUCUUACUGACCCCAGUGACACCAGAACAGGGAUAAAAGGUUUUGUGAAGUGUUCCUUGAGUGUGGUAAUGAAAGGAGACGCAAUGGGAAUUCCCAGUUUGCCUUCUUUGGGCAGUCAGAACGAUGACAUUGAGAAAAAUCUGCUCUUACCCAAGAGGAUGCCAGCUGAGAGGCCCUGGGCCAAAUUCCUGUUGAAGAUCUACAAGGCAGAAGGCUUGCCCAGUAUGAGUGCUGGCUUCAUGGGUGGUUUCUCUAAGAUGAUGGGGGACAGGAAGGUCUUCAUUGACCCUUAUGUGCAGGUCACAUUUGCAGGCCAACAGGGCGAGACUUCAGUCCAGUCAAACACCGACAGUCCUGAGUGGAAUGAGCAGAUCUCUUUCAUCGAGCAGUUUCCUCCCCUUGCCCGGCGAAUCAAAGUGCAGAUCCUGGACGAUGCCAACAUAGGUGAUGUCGCAGUGGCGACACACUUUCUUGACCUGCAACAAAUCUCCAAUCCCAACAGAAAUGGGUUCAACCCCACAUUUGGCCCGUCCUGGAUCAACCUGUAUGGUUCCCCUCAGAACUCUGCCCUUGGAGACAUCCACCAAGCUUUAAACGACGGCAUAAGUGAAGGCAUCUUCUACCGGGGCCGUUUGUUGUUGUCUCUCAGCGUGGAGGUAUACUCAUCCCCAAACGCCGCUCCUGUGGAGAGCAGCAAAGCAUCGGCCAGUGUCAGGAGUGCCCUUGGCAAGUUCUCCUUAAAGAAGAUGAGCAGGAAAUCUAAAAAGAAGGAAGAAGUAACACUGAGCCUUAGUGGGCUUACAGAAGAGUCAGAGGAUGCAGGUACAGAGGUACCAGAGUCUGUGACUGUGGAGGUUGAGGAGAUUCAUCCCCUACCUGAGAAUUUCUUUGGGGUAAAGGAGGAAUUUUUACUGUUUGCAUCCCUGUUUGAGGUGACCAUGAUCGAUCCCAUUAUUGGAAGCAAGCCAGUCAGCUUUGAGUUGUCCAUUGGGAACAAUGGGAAGGCAGCAGAGGUGAUGGUCAAUCCAAAAAAGACUCAGAGCAAAGAAGAUUUAAGCAGUGAGAGUCAGUCUCUGUUGGAGUCAUCAGAUGAUGAACUGGAUAAGGAGGAGAUUCCACGCCAUGGGCUUAAGGACAGCUCUGUCACUGAUCCAAGAAGACCACAGUCUGUCGAGUAUGACAGAUCAUUUAGCUGUAUCCCCAUGCCAUAUCAGAAGCCAUGCAUGUUUUUGUGGUCUCACUUUGAAGAUCACUGCUUCCGUUACCAGAAUGCUAACUGGCUGCAUAAGAUGGCUGACAGACUGGAAUCUGGCAUUGAUGAUGUGGAGAGACUUUUAAAGAGACCUAGAACCAAUGCCAAGGACCGUUUGGUGGAGGUGCUUUUGGAGUUUGUAGCGAGUUGCAAGCAGUAUAUCUCGAACUCUGAUAGGAAGACGCCAGCGAAGCGCAAUAAUCUGGACAAAUGUCGGAAAGAGUUUAUCAAGAAGAACAUUAUACUCCUAGCCAAGCUGUCUUUGCGAGUGAAGAGGAAGGUAACCAGACGUACAAUGAAAGAGAGACUGACUGAGGCCAAGAGGAUUCUAAAAAGGCUUGAACUCUUGCUAAAAGAACCUCAGAGCACCUUGCCAGAUGUGUUUGUGUGGAUGAUGAGUGCAGGGAAACGUGUGGCCUUUGCCAGGAUCCCUUCCCACUCCAUUCUCUUCUCUCUGGUGGAGGAAGAAAAAGGGAAAGACUGUGGGAAACUCACCACCAUUUAUCUAAAGACUCCAGUGGGACCAGUGGGGGAGAUCUUUGCUAAGCUCGAGGUGUAUUUAUGGCUUGGCAUCACCAAAUAUUCCAAGAACUGUGUUAGCAGCCUGCCAGCUGACUUCACGCCUGUGUAUGAAGAGGCUAUGGGCAUCGUCCCUGUUUCCAUUCCCAUGGCCCCCAUCAAAAUGUCCUGCGAGGACAGUCGCUACUUCCAGAUGCGUGCACAUAUUUACCAGGCACGUGGCCUAAAAGCAGCAGAUGACAAUGGGCUGUCUGAUCCCUUUGCCAAGGUGGUGUUCUCCACACAGUGCAUGCGCACCCAGGUGAUUGAGGAGACUCUUUGCCCAACCUGGAAUCAGCUGCUCCUGUUUGAGCAAAUCCUUAUUGAGGGCAGUAAAGAAGAGUUAAGAGAUGACCCCCCAAUAAUCACAAUCAACCUCUAUGAUUACGACAAAAUGGGGAGUCCUGAGCCCCUGGGCCGAGCGUUUGCUCAUCCGGAGCUCAAGUUUGUUGAGGAGCCAUAUACGAAACCUAUGUUGGAGUUCUUUGACAUCAGCCGAGGAAAAUCUUCAGCAGGGGAGCUCCUGGCGGCUUUUGAGCUGAUAGAGCUGGACUACUCAAAAUUUGGAGCGCCAUCACUACCUGUGGAUGUUGACCCAAGACAGCCGGAGUAUUUGGAGAAUGAGAAGUAUUUCAUCAUUCCAGAUGGGGUUAGGCCAGUGCUGAAGAAAUUUCGUAUAGAAGUGCUGUACUGGGGAAUCAGAGACCUGAAGAGGGUCAACCUGUUUGAAGUGGAGAAGCCUCAAGUGAGAAUCGAGUGUGCGGGACACAGAAUUGAAUCUGAAGAAAUCGAGAACUACCAAGUCCUUCCCAACUUCAAAGAGGUUGUCAAAAGCUUUGAUGUGGAGCUUCCGGAGCUGACAUACCUUCACCCUCCUCUUAUCGUGUUUGUUAUGGAGCAGCGGGCAUUUGGCAGGCUAGUGCUGGUGGGCACACAUAUGGUCCAGAAUCUAAUGCACUUUGCACCGAAAAACCUAGAGGAAUGGAAAGACGAUGAUGAUGAACCUGAACCCCAAGAGAAGAAACCCCCUGUGAGGACCACUCCCCUCGACACAGUGAAAAAGAUGGACCUGAGAGGCCUUUCGAUCAACACCUCUAAGAUUCCCAUCAACCCCCUUAACUUAACUUCUCCACUGAACAAACUAAAGAAGAAGGUGGAUGAGCUUGAAGAGGAGAUUCCAGAGAAAGAGCAACUGGAUUGGUGGUCCAAGUACUACGCAUCAUUGGAAGAGAUUGGAAACCAGACUGAGAAUGAGGACGAAAUGGAUGAACAACAGGAAACAGAUGGUGGCACAUUAGAAGCAGAGGAUGAGAAUGCAGUGAUAGUAGAAAUAGAGCCACCGCCGAUACCGAAAAGAAAAAAAAUAGCAACUAUCCAGCUGUAUAAAUCAGAACUGGAGGAGGAGUUUAGCGAAUUCAUGGAUUGGCUACACACAUUCCCCAUCUACAAAGGCAAAUCCAAUGAGGAAGAUGAUGAGGAUGAAGAAGAAAGAUGCAUGGGGAAAUACAAAGGGUCUUUUUUGAUUUAUCCCAUUUUACCUGAGGACGAAAAUGCAGAAUGCCGGAUUACCAAUGGAAUUCCGAGAAACACGGCCAUCAAAGUGCUAGUGCGUGUGUAUGUUGCAAAGGCCACCAACCUGGCACCAACUGAUCCCAAUGGAAAGGCAGAUCCCUAUGUGAUGGUGAAAGUUGGCAAACAAAGCAUGGACAGUAAAGAACGCUAUAUUCCCAAACAGCUAAACCCAGUAUUUGGAGAAGUGUUUGAGCUGACCGUGUCCUUUCCCCUGGAGACGGAACUGACCUUGAUGGUAUUUGAUCACGACAUGGUGGGCUCUGAUGACCUCAUUGGAGAAACACGAAUCGACCUGGAGAACCGUUUCUACAGCCACCACUACGCGCGCUGUGGCAUAGCCCUUUACUAUGACAAAGAUGGAUACAACAAUUGGAGGGAUGCCAAGAAACCAUCCACCAUUCUGGCAGAGCUCUGCCGGAAAAAUGCAAUUCCCUCUCCGGAAUACCGUGAAUUGGAAGUCAAAGUUCUUAACAAGAUCUUCAAAAUACCCAAUGAAGCGUUUCCUGAAGAGUUGCUGAAGAAGAACAAGAAGACGGAAGAAGAUCUGCAGGAGAUGGAGGAGCACAAGGCCCUUAGUGUAUUGCACCGCUGGGGGGAGAUGAGGGAGUUCUGUGAGGGAGCCUGUCCCCUUGUACCAGAGCAUGUGGAGGUGCGUUCUCUCCUCAACUCUGAAAAACCAGGACUGCCUCAGGGCUAUGUUCACAUGUGGAUUGAUAUGUUUCCUACGGAUGUACCAGCACCUCCACCUAUAAAUAUCAAACCCCGGCUGCCUAUAAGCUAUGAGUUGCGUGUGAUCAUCUGGAAUACUGACGACGUUGUCCUGGAUGAUGUCAACCCUUUCACUGGAAAUCCAUCCAGUGAUAUAUACAUGAAAGGCUGGAUUAAAGGCUUAGAGGGGAACAAACAAGAGACUGAUGUCCAUUUCAACUCCAUGACUGGAGAAGGGAACUUCAAUUGGCGUUUUGUUUUCCGGUUUGACUACCUCCCCACUGAGAAAGAGAUCAUCUAUAAGAAAAAGGAGUCUAUAUUCUCUCUGGAGGAAUCCGAGUUUCGCCAGCCUGCUGUUCUUGUGCUUCAGGUCUGGGACUAUGACCUCAUCUCCGCCAAUGACUUCCUGGGCUCCAUUGAACUGCGUCUGAAUGACAUGGUCCGAGCGGCCAAAACUUCAGGGCAGUGCAGCAUACAGAUGGCCAAGGACAGGGCCAGCCCUCGCUUCUCUAUCUUCCGUAGCAAGAGGAUGAAAGGAUGGUGGCCUCUCAUCAAGCUCAAGAGUCAGGAAGACAUUGAGAGGGAGGAAAAAGAGGCAGAGGACGCAAAGAACAAGAAAAAGAAGAAAAGGAAGGGCAGGCACAGCAAGAUGAAGACAGAGGACAUUCAAUUUAUUGACAACAAUGGGAGCACUUAUCUCCUAAUGGGCAAAGUGGAAGCAGAGUUCCAUUUGGUGACCCUUGAGGAGGCAGAGCUAGCUCCUGUGGGAAAAGCUCGUAAGGAACCUGAGCCACUUGAGAAACCAAAUCGCCCCAAGACAUCCUUCAACUGGUUUAUCAACCCCCUGAAGACCUUCAUCUUCUUCAUCUGGAAAAAGUACAAGAAGUACAUUAUUGCUCUACUCAUCCUGGCAGUCCUAGUGCUCUUCCUUGUCCUCAUCCUCUACACCCUCCCUGGACAGAUUAGUGCGCUUAUUGUAAAUGGAUGAUAGCAUCAGUCACAGAGACGUAAUAUAAAAAAAUCUGAUUUUCAUGUAUCUAAUUUAAUGUAACAGUUAUUCAGUUACUAUUUUAAAGUUUUUGUACCUCAAGUUAUGUACCUCAAGUUGUUUUAGUUAUUGUUAUGUGAUAUAUCAAAAUUAAAUCUGAAUAUUAAUUAAACAGAUAUUAGACAAUCUAGUCCAAGCGCCCUAGUCUCUUUCAAAUUGUCAUAUUUCAUGAUUCUUGAGCUCUUGAAAACACAGAGAUACAUGCCAAGUUACUUCUCUUGCCAACCAGGUAAUAAUACACAACUCAAGCAAUAAAAAGGUGCAGGUAGAAAUAUAUAAUGUCAAUCUAUACUGAACAAAAUUAUAAACGUAA
Molecule: long non-coding RNA, 6536 nt
Organism: Esox lucius (northern pike)
Lineage: Eukaryota; Metazoa; Chordata; Actinopteri; Esociformes; Esocidae
Gene: fer1l4
Product: fer-1 like family member 4
Exons: 46
Source: RefSeq, a predicted model, not a curated record